This 26-nucleotide non-coding RNA is filed under the name Cricetulus griseus (Chinese hamster). Lineage: Eukaryota; Metazoa; Chordata; Mammalia; Rodentia; Cricetidae. The record is from RNAcentral.
CCCCACGGGACUCAGCAGUGAUAAAA